GGUAAGAAUAGCAGCGUACACAAGGCGGCCACGUGUAUACACUUGUAUACAGAUAUAAAGAUGGUAUUUGAUUACUUUCGCUUCAUUUUUAAAUGCAGGGAAAUUAUCAGGCAUUAUUUCAAUGAAGAUAAUGCUACUUUGAAGGGACCUUAUUUUGUCGGGAUGCCGUGGAAGGGAACAUUUGAAAAUGGAAACACUGGGAGAAAUUUGUAGAAAUUAAGUGUUACAUAUGA
This is a long non-coding RNA of Hippocampus zosterae (dwarf seahorse), 233 nucleotides long. RefSeq lists it as uncharacterized. The transcript is spliced from 2 exons. Lineage: Eukaryota; Metazoa; Chordata; Actinopteri; Syngnathiformes; Syngnathidae. The record is from RefSeq and is a predicted model, not a curated record.